AACGAACGCUGGCGGCAGGCCUAAAACAUGCAAGUCGAACGAACCUUCGGGUUAGUGGCGCACGGGUGCGUAACGUGUGGGAAUGUGCCUCUGGGUGCGGAACAACGUCGGGAAACUGACGCUAAUACCGCAUAAUAUCUACGGAUCAAAGAUUUAUCGCCCAGAGAUCAGCCCGCGUCUGAUUAGGUAGUUGGUAGGGUAAUGGCCUACCAAGCCGACGAUCAGUAGCUGGUCUGAGAGGAUGAUCAGCCACACUGGAACUGAGACACGGUCCAGACUCCUACGGGAGGCAGCAGUUAGGAAUAUUGGACAAUGGGCGAAAGCCUGAUCCAGCCAUGCCGCGUGAGUGAAGAAGGCCUUAGGGUUGUAAAGCUCUUUCGGCUGUGAAGAUAAUGACAGUAGCAGAAGAGGAAGCCCCGGCUAAAUUCGUGCCAGCCGCCGCGGUAA
Molecule: ribosomal RNA, 447 nt
Filed under: uncultured bacterium
Lineage: Bacteria
Description: partial 16S ribosomal RNA
Rfam family: Bacterial small subunit ribosomal RNA
Source: RNAcentral